RNAcentral lists this ribosomal RNA (377 nucleotides) under uncultured soil bacterium. Its description in RNAcentral is "bacterial SSU rRNA". It matches the Rfam family "Bacterial small subunit ribosomal RNA", at positions 26 to 423 of the family's 1533-position model. The record is from RNAcentral.
AGAGCGAACGCUGGCGGCAGGCCUAACACAUGCAAGUCGAACGGACCCUUCGGGGUUAGUGGCGGACGGGUGAGUAACACGUGGGAACGUGCCUUUAGGUUCGGAAUAGCUCCUGGAAACGGGUGGUAAUGCCGAAUGUGCCCUUCGGGGGAAAGAUUUAUCGCCUUUAGAGCGGCCCGCGUCUGAUUAGCUUGUUGGUGAGGUAAUGGCUCACCAAGGCUACGAUCAGUAGCUGGUCUGAGAGGAUGACCAGCCACAUUGGGACUGAGACACCGGACCCAAACUCCGUACGGGAGGCAGCGAGGUGGGAAUCUUGCGCAAGUGGGACGAACGCCUAGACGCACGCAUCGCCGCGUAGUAGUAGAGUAGGUAAGGUU